GCCCAGACUCCUACGGGAGGCAGCAGUGGGGAAUAUUGCACAAUGGGGGGAACCCUGAUGCAGCAACGCCGCGUGGGUGAAGAAGUACUUCGGUAUGUAAAGCCCUGUCAGCAGGGAAGAAAAUGACGGUACCUGAAGAAGAAGCCCCGGCUAACUACGUGCCAGCAGCCGCGGUAAUACGUAGGGGGCAAGCGUUAUCCGGAUUUACUGGGUGUAAAGGGGGCGCAGACGGCGAUGCAAGCCAGGAGUGAAAGCCCGGGGCCCAACCCCGGGACUGCUCUUGGAACUGCGUGGCUGGAGUGCAGGAGGGGCAGGCGGAAUUCCUGGUGUAGCGGUGAAAUGCGUAGAUAUCAGGAGGAACACCGGUGGCGAAGGCGGCCUGCUGGACUGCAACUGACGUUGAGGCCCGAAAGCGUGGGGAGCAAACAGGAUUAGAUACCCGAGUA
Molecule: ribosomal RNA, 446 nt
Filed under: uncultured bacterium
Lineage: Bacteria
Description: bacterial SSU rRNA
Rfam family: Bacterial small subunit ribosomal RNA
Source: RNAcentral